This is a long non-coding RNA of Gossypium raimondii (Peruvian cotton), 209 nucleotides long. RefSeq lists it as uncharacterized. Lineage: Eukaryota; Viridiplantae; Streptophyta; Magnoliopsida; Malvales; Malvaceae. The record is from RefSeq and is a predicted model, not a curated record. The transcript has 3 exons.
CCUGGAUGAAGGAGGCUUUGUUGGUUGGAAAAGCUAAGCUGGCAGGAAGGAAGGACAACAUGAGCUGACACAAAUGCCCUAAAUCAUCCGUAAAGGCGAAGAACGAUUGUACGUACGGUUCGCAUUGAUACAGUGUUUGUUUAAAGAAUUAUUAAGGAAAAUUAGAAGAUUCGCUAGUGUGCUGCAAGGAGCGAAAAAUAAGGUGUGGG